UCUCCAUAAGUGAUGCCUUUGCCAAGUUGAUCUUCGCUGAUGAAAAAGAUGGUGGGUUGACAUUGGGAGUUUGGGAUCUUGACUACUGAUCUGUUGAUCGAGCUGACUUAAUCGAUGUCGGAGGAGGUGCUAAAGAAGGAACCUGCCUUGGGUGCGACACCUCUUUCGGUGGUGGAUGGGCCACCUUGGUAGGUUGGCGAGUCGACUUCACCA
Molecule: long non-coding RNA, 213 nt
Filed under: Elaeis guineensis (African oil palm)
Lineage: Eukaryota; Viridiplantae; Streptophyta; Magnoliopsida; Arecales; Arecaceae
Description: long non-coding RNA (EGUI_LNC039438)
Source: RNAcentral